RNAcentral lists this ribosomal RNA (1861 nucleotides) under Myxodavisia sp. Jeju-2017. Its description in RNAcentral is "partial small subunit ribosomal RNA". It matches the Rfam family "Eukaryotic small subunit ribosomal RNA". The record is from RNAcentral. Lineage: Eukaryota; Metazoa; Cnidaria; Myxozoa; Bivalvulida; Sinuolineidae.
GAUGAGGCUGCGAAGCGCUCCAUAAAUCGGUUAAAAUCUAUUCAAUUUUAGAUUGUCAUGGAUAACUUUGGCAAAUCUAAAGCUAAUACAUGUUUGAAUCUUAUUAUAAUUGUUUACAAUUAUGUAAGAUGCAUUUAUUAGUAAAAAAUUAACCGUUUAUGGCGACAUAAAUGAGUAUGAAAACGAAUAACUGGGGCGAAUCAGGUAUAAUACUAUCUGAUGUUAUGAGCGAUUUUCUGCUCUAUCAAUUAGUUGUUGGGGUAGUGGCCCAACAAGGUUGUAACGGAUAACGGGGAAUCAGGGUUCGAUUCCGGAGAGGGAGCCUGAGAAACGGCUACCACAUCCAAGGAAGGCAGCAGGCGCGUAAAUUACCCAAAUCCGAAUUUCGGGAGGUAGUGACAAAAAAUAUCAAAACAGGCUAAAUGUCUGUAUUUGAAAUGAGUUUAAUUUAACACAUUAAGCGAGAAACUAUUGAAGGGCAAGUCUGGUGCCAGCAGCCGCGGUAAUUCCAGCUUCAACAGUGUAUAAUAAUGUUGUUGCGGUUAAAAAGCUCGCAGUUAAAUGACAAAAGUAGCGAUUUAUAUGGUAAAUAUAUAUAUAACCUAUAUAAUAUGGUUACUUUUAUAUUGCAAAUAAUAUCAUGUUACUUUAUUGAAACAUGAUACUAAUUUGCAUAAUGUGCCUUGAGUAAAAUAGAGUGCUCAAAGCAAGCUUAUAUGCUAGCAUAAUAAAACAUGGAACGAACUAUGUUUAAUACAGCUUGGUUGGUUAUUAAAGCCUAAAUAAUAAUUAUAUUAAUAAUAUCAAAAUAUAUUAAUAGUUGUUGAUACAAUUAUUUUUUUGAAAUAAAAAAAAAAUUGUACUCAAAGAUUAAUAUAUAAAAAAAAUUUUGCUCUAUUAUUAAUUAAAUAUUAUUUGGGAACCAAGUUGAAUAAUGAUUAAAAGAAGCAAUUGUGGGCGUUAGUACUGGGCAGCGAGAGGUGAAAUUCGUAGACCUGUCCAAGACUUACUAAAGCGAAGGCAUACGCCAAGGUUGUUUUCAUUAAUCAGGAGCUAUCGUUGAGGGAUCAAAGACGAUUAGACACCGUCGUAGUCUCAACAGUAAACUAUGCCCACCUGAGGUUAGCCCAUUAUAUAAUCUUAUAGGUUGGCCUCCCAGAGAAAUCUCAAGUUUUUGGGUUCUGGGGGGAGUACUGUCGCAAGUCUGAAACUUAAAAGAAUUGACGGAAGGACACCACCAGGGGUGGAGCCUGCGGCUUAAUUUGACUCAACACGGGGCAACUUACCAGGUCCGCACAUUAAAAGGAUUGACAGAUUAAUAGCUCUUUCAUGAUAUAAUGCUUGGUGGUGCAUGGCCGUUCUUAGUUGGUGGAGCAAUUUGUCUGGUCAAUUCCGAUAACGAACGAGACUGUGAUCUCUAUUUUAUGACUCAUACUUGUAUAACAUUUAUUAAAUUAUUAUAUAUAUAAAAUAUUUAUAUAUGUAAAAAGAUAAUAAAUGUAAGGUGAGAUAAUAGAGAGACAACCGCGCGCUCUGAAGCCGGAGGAGGCGCAGCAAUAACAGGUCUGUGAUGCCCUAAGAUGUUCUGGGCUGCACGCGCGCUACAAUGAAGUUAACAAAAAGUUACUGCUUUGAAAAAGGUGGUCAAACAGUAAUUAACUUCAUAUUUGGGAUAGAGUACUGUAAUUGUGCUCUCAAACGAGGAAUCCCUCGUAAGUACGGGUCACCAACUCGUGCUGAAUAUGUCUAUGUCCUUUGUACACACCGCCCGUCGCUACUACUGAUUUAACGAUGUUUCGAAGAAUAGAGAUUUGAAAAGAAUUUAUUCUUUUUAAAGAACCAUUCUAUGCUAUGCUAGAGA